RNAcentral lists this ribosomal RNA (582 nucleotides) under uncultured Tannerella sp. RNAcentral describes it as "bacterial SSU rRNA". It matches the Rfam family "Bacterial small subunit ribosomal RNA", at positions 97 to 676 of the family's 1533-position model. The record is from RNAcentral. Lineage: Bacteria; Pseudomonadati; Bacteroidota; Bacteroidia; Bacteroidales; Tannerellaceae.
GGCGCACGGGUGAGUAACGCGUAUGUAACCUGCCCGCAACAGGGGGAUAACCCGGCGAAAGUCGGACUAAUACCGCAUAAAACAGGGGUCCCGCAUGGGAAUAUUUGUUAAAGAUUUAUCGGUUGCGGAUGGGCAUGCGUACCAUUAGGUAGUUGGUGAGGUAACGGCUCACCAAGCCUUCGAUGGUUAGGGGUUCUGAGAGGAAGGUCCCCCACACUGGUACUGAGACACGGACCAGACUCCUACGGGAGGCAGCAGUGAGGAAUAUUGGUCAAUGGGCGAGAGCCUGAACCAGCCAAGUCGCGUGAAGGAUGACUGCCCUAUGGGUUGUAAACUUCUUUUACAAGGGAAUAAAAUGAGAUACGUGUAUUUUAUUGCAUGUACCUUGGGAAUAAGCAUCGGCUAACUCCGUGCCAGCAGCCGCGGUAAUACGGAGGAUGCGAGCGUUAUCCGGAUUUAUUGGGUUUAAAGGGUGCGUAGGUGGGCUGUUAAGUCAGCGGUGAAAGUUUGUCGCUUAACGAUAAAAUUGCCGUUGAAACUGGUAGUCUUGAGUAUAGAUGAAGUACGCGGAAUGCGUGGUGU